AUGUUUUGGCAAAGGAAGAUGAAGGAGAAGCAGUCUUUAAAUACACACACUCCAAGAGGCAGUCUGAGAAAAGAACAUUGCUUUUGAGCUAAUGCGAAGAGGAAGAGUAAAUGUGGGCAGUCAGUGAGAGCAAACGGAGAGCAAACCAGAAUUUUGGAGCCUUUUCCAGCUGUGACGCAAGCUUCUGGUUGGCCUGGGGUGGCUAGGAAAGAAGAGGGAAAGGACUCCACAGGAUCUUUGGGCAGACUCAUUUGUAGUGGCUACUGGAGGCUCUGAAUCACGGUACUAUACCAGCAUCUAACUGACCCUCCCAGCAACACAGUUUCGUUGAACGGUCAGCAGCCGUGAAGAGAAUGAA
Molecule: long non-coding RNA, 358 nt
Organism: Tachyglossus aculeatus (Australian echidna)
Lineage: Eukaryota; Metazoa; Chordata; Mammalia; Monotremata; Tachyglossidae
Exons: 3
Source: RefSeq, a predicted model, not a curated record